This 127-nucleotide non-coding RNA is filed under the name uncultured Mediterraneibacter sp. Its description in RNAcentral is "Glycine riboswitch". It matches the Rfam family "Glycine riboswitch aptamer". Rfam says of the family: This family represents the bacterial glycine riboswitch. Lineage: Bacteria; Bacillati; Bacillota; Clostridia; Lachnospirales; Lachnospiraceae. The record is from RNAcentral.
AAUAAACUCAGGAGAGUCUGUUCCCUUACUGUUGUAGCAAAAGGGAAGAGCGCCGAAGGUGUAAGCGGUACUGUGCAGCUUUGUAUCAGGUACCGUGAGUCUCUCAGGCAAAAGGAUGGAGGUAUAA